RNAcentral lists this long non-coding RNA (5805 nucleotides) under Nicotiana benthamiana. RNAcentral's name for it is "long non-coding RNA (NBEN_LNC011144)". The record is from RNAcentral. Lineage: Eukaryota; Viridiplantae; Streptophyta; Magnoliopsida; Solanales; Solanaceae.
CCAGACUCGACAUCUUUGGCUCCAUCGAAUAGCUUCACCAACUCGCGAAGUCCCAGCAAUAGGUAGGCUCUGGCUAGGUAUCCACCCUCGUUUCCUUCAGCAUUCUGCCAAUCCUGGAUUCUUUUGAGAAUUUCCUUUCCAGCUCCACUAAACCACGCUCCAAGUAUCGCAGUCGCUUGUUGGCACUGACGGCCAUUUCUUUCCACUAUUUAAUUAGCUUUUGGUUGGCUUCUUGUAUCUCACGGUGCUCUCUUUCACAUUCCCGAAUCCUCUGUCGUAGUUGAUUGUAUUUGACUUGCACCUCGUCCCUUUCAUUUAUGAUCCUGUGACCUCGAACAAACCCGGGCUGACCCAGACCGUUAUGGAUAUCCUCCAGCCAGCCUGAAUAGUAUGGAGUACAACCGGCAUGGUAUCCCUUCCGAUGAUGAUUUUGCAAUGCCACAUAUGUUGAGCUUGGCAAUUGUAAGGGCUAUCAUCGUCGUGGAAGUCGGCUCGAAAGUGACUCCUCUUGUCGACUCCUGGUAUAACCUGCUUCCUACCAGCCGGUCUCAUAACUCAGAGAGGGACAUAAGGGUAGGGUCCUCUCAAACCGAUCAGAUUAAGAAAUGGUGAAUCCAUGGAUGGUCAAUGAACUCCUCGGUAGGGAACCACUCGAGCAGCCAUUGUAUUUGACCCUCAGUUAGAUUUUAAAAUAGCUCUAGCUACUCCUUAGCAUCUUCCAGCUGGGCACACAUGUUAGGCAUGUGAAUCUCUUGUCGAUAUUCACCCCUUUGGAGAUGCUCCAUGAACCAGAGCUGGAGUAGCAAAUUGCAGCCCUCGAAGUGUUUUGCCCAUUGUUAACACUUUUCGAAGGCUCAGUAUAUCUCUAUAAUGAUCAUGGGCACUAUGUUGAAUAGUUUCCACCCAAUUCCCUCCAUUAAAGUAUUGGUUACCAUAGCUAGCCUGGUGUGGAUUCUUGCUUUCUUCAUUGGAAACACUAUCAUUCCCAGCAAACAAAACAUGAAGACAAAGACCCUUCGGUGAAUAUUCCCCAAUGAUGUGAGGGCGAACUCACCAGGAUAAGUACGGUACCUCUCGUACAAAUAAUCAAAGGGGAUAUAAGACUCUUUCAAACAUGUCAAGUUUGGAUUUUUCUUUAGACCCAUCAUUUUGAGAAAACCUCAGCUCUUGCCGUUUUCAGGAAUUAACAAGCCCGGAGUUUCCCAUGGUAUACCAGCCAAUCCUCUUAUUUCUUCUACUAGGGGUGUCAUCUCAAUGUCUCCGUAGUGGAACACUGACCUAUCACAAUCCCAUAAUAGAGUAGCAGCUUCUAUGAUUUUGUUGUUGGGUUAGAUUUCCAGGAGGGAAGGUAGAUUUUCUAGGUAUUUUCGGAUAAGAGUCUGAUCACUAGAAUGAAGAUCUUCCACCAGCUUAGAAAUUUUGGGUGGAUGUUGGUGACCAUGUUUAAUCUAGGGACUCCGUGCCUCAUAUUGCUACAAGAAAAAAGGUUUAGGCCCUUACCCCAACCGGACUCGACUAUUUAAAUAUCAAUAAUUAUCAUAAAAACAUUUGGUUCUCCAAAUAAAUGCAUUGAACGUGGUAGUGUCUGUUUGGGUUUUAGGGAAAACCAGUGGACUUUGGACAAGGCUAUCUUAAUGAGUCAUUAUGCGGACAACAUAACUGACUCUACUAAGUUUGACCAUGAUUCAUGCACAAUUAAACAGUGUGAAGUUUCAAUAGGGUUUUAGAGUCGCCAUGUUGUCGCACCCCUUUUUCUCACAAAUCGGGUUUAUGACAUUUGGGAGGACAACUCAUUCCCUUUUGGGAAUUUGAAUUUUUGAAUUGAUGAGCGCCACUUAAUGAUUGCAUUAGGACAUCAAGAGAGUUUGAUUUUGAGUGAUCAGAGAAUGGGUAAGGGCUUGAAAUUAUCCCAAGGGAAAGGUAUUAGGCACCCCUCAGGAUCCAAUAGUGUGGUUCCCAGCCAGACAAUUAUUUAACUUAGGUGCAACUAACACGGCUCAAUUAAGAGGGUAUUUCACAUAUAAAAGUUUUAAAAUAAACAAAGUUUGGAAGAGCACUUAAGAAGGUCGAUUUUAGAAAAUAAGGAGUAAAAAUGUUAAGGAAAUAAGAAUAAAGGAAGGGGGGUCCUAGGUUUAUUAAAAAUAUGGAUCACAUCAAUGCAACACUCGGUAAUCACUCCUCAAAAUUGGGGUUACACAUGGUAUUAGUGCACCGGUCAUCAUAUCCAUAUCUAUCCUUCUCACCAUGUUAAGGUAUUUAAGCGCGGAAUGGUCUCGAUUACUUAUUGCAUGCUAUUACUCGACCCAAUCUUAUCAUUCCCGGAGGAAUUUAGGACUACUAACCCUGAAGGGGAGGGAUGUUAUGCUUAUUAGUAGUUUUAAAGGCGAAAGUUAUAAGGCAACACAGAAAACAUGUAUAGCAAGUAGGGGAAAGUACAUAACAAACAAAAAGGGUCAGAUAUACCUCCUUCUAACAAAGAAGCACGUAAUUAGCAUGACUUUAUAUACUGCUUAGCGUCUGAUUAAAUAAUAAACAUGAAAGAACUUAAGAGUUGAGGCAGACUAAUUAUUACAUAAUUCAGCUAAGAAGCCCGAAUCAGGCCUUCCUGCUAGUUGUAUUUAAUAGUACAGAUCCAGUUUAUAACUUUACUGUGAGGCUUACCUAAGCAUUUGGGCAAGAAUCCUAUAGGCUUGGCAUCUAUUGAGUUCAAAAAACAAGAAAAUAUCAAAGUUUGAAACAUGAAGAUUAGACUCGUUAAGUGAGGGGCAAUCCGAUUAAAAGAGAAGCAAGUUUUAGACGAAUUAAUUACCAGUUCUACAAUGGAUAGUUCCACUGAUUUUACGCCUAACACGAUUUGAGUCAAAAUUAUUUAUUAGAAGCUCCUAUAGAAAUUAUUUCUAUGUGUUGUUGGUUUUAUGCCCUUUGGAGACAUAGUAAAAAUGCAGAAUUUUAUUGAAAACUCUAUUCACAUGGUAUCUAGGUGAAUAUGCAGAAUAGAAUAAUCCUAUAGGCAUAAUUUCUAUAUGAAAUUGGGUAUUCAAAACACCUAUAGUUAUGGUAUCUAUAUGAGAAUGCAGAAUUCAAAAAUACCUAUAGACAUGGUAUCUACAUGGAAUGCAGAAUUCAAAAAUGCCUAUAGGCAUGGUAUCUACAUGAGAAUGCAGAAUUCAAAAAUACCUAUAGACAUGGUAUCUACCUCUUUGCAUACAUAGUUACCCGCCCUUUUUACUAAUUAUACCCUAGAGUUUAUUACAAAUUAUUACAACCCGGAAUAAGUAAAAUACAUCAGGAAAUAUAUAUAGAAGAGUACAACCAAGGAGAGCUUGAUUCAGACUUCAUAUCUGAAAUAUGAGGUAAACCAACUCCAUGAGAUCAUAAUCCAAAGACUUUUUCUCAAUUGAGUGUGUCGAAGUUCCCUAAGAGCCUCAAAGGGACUCCGGGCAAUGCUCCCACCCAAAUAUAUAAUAAGAUUAGGAUAAGUGUAGUAUGGAAGGGCCAACCGUCAAGUGUCCGAGUUCAGAGGGAGCUCAAAGGGUCCCAAGGCAGGGCUCACAAGAGGGGGCAUAACUUAAAGACUAAGAGAGGGUGCAAGUGCAGAAACGGAAUUUUGAAAGAGGAAAAGGAGAGGGAAACAACUAUAAAAAAGUACACAUAAGGGAAUAUGGAAUAGGGAGAUUGUAAAGAGCCUAUUGCAUAGGUAAAGGCAUGCUUCAAGUAUGCUCAGCAAUGGAGGAUGCUAGCAUACUCUCAAACCUGCCAAAACACACUAUUUAGAGGCUAGGAUCCCAAGGGAUCGAGUUUGAUUCAUGGACAAUAACUUGUAGUAUUGUCAUGCCUUAGAUCAUAGCUUAAACACAUAUAGGGGUAGGGGUUUGGGAUUCAUAAUAGAGCAGGUAGAAAGAAAUCAAUAUACUAGAGUUGAACUAUACAUAAGUAGUAAGCAGACAGGGAUACAAAAAGCAAAAAAUAAACACAUUGUCGUGGUGCUAGAAGCCUUAAAUCAGGACAAACAAGUUUUAAAGAAGCAAAUAAAGAAACGUAUGGAGUAGGCCUUGUAAACAAGCCACAGUACAAGUAGCAAGAGAGAAUACUUUGAGUGUAAGUAUAAUUUCAGAAAGACUACGAGUGAUAGGUCUGUUUGUGUUAAUGAAAAAGUCGAUAUUAAUAGUGUGAAAAUAGGCAAAAAUAAGGUAAGAAAACAAUUAAGGAACUGGAUAUCAAUUAUAAAUCGAUCAAUAAAAGACUUCCAUUAAUUAAGGAAUUCAAAUUCAAACGCUAGAACUAUUUAAGUAAAGAAAUCAAGUAAACAUAUUCUGCAAAGCAGGCAAUUAGGGGCAAGUACAUAGGAGUUUUAAUUAAGGGAAAAAGUUUUAACUAAAAAAAUAAGGUAGGGAUCAAUCAAUAUACAGUAAAUCGAUGGGUCAAAGGUUUGAAAUUACUGGCUCAUGAAUGGGCUAAGGAAUGUUUUCGACUCAAAUCAAGUGACAGGGAAAUCGGCAACAAGGAAAGAAAUCAAUAAAACUUAUAAAAAGAAAGUCUAAAAUCAAUCAACAUUGAAAGCCAUUUUAGAGAGAAGUUCAACACAUCUAAAAAGCACUCAAAUACUAGGCAUACGAAACUAAGUUUAGGACACAAAUAAGAAGUGUCAUGCAAUGGAAAAAACCAGUAGGUAGUCACAUAGGUCAGCAUUGUAGAGAAGAUAGUAUCAACCAGCAUAAAGAUCAUAGGAAAGGUUAGUAGAGAAUCAGAAUUGCUUAAAGAGGUAAAGUUUGAAACAAUGAUUUCAAGACUUAGUUGAGCAGUAGAUGAAACAAAUCCAGAAACUCGAAAUAUAUCCAAAAGAGUUAGGGUUUCCAAAAUAAAAAAAAGUUCAAAGAUGAAGAACAAGCAAAUCACAUAGCCAAGGGUCAGAAAACUCGGAUGAACCCCCAAAUUUAGGGUUCUUGCGAUUAAUCAAGUGCAGAUAUGAAAUGACAAGUGAUUAAGGGUAAAUAUACGAAUCGAGAGAGAUUUAGAGGUCUCAUAAAUGAACUGAGACCUUUAACAUGCUCUUUCAGUAGCAGAACUCUUGAGAAGCAUAGUUAAAGAAUAAUGCGAAAUACAAUAGUAAAACUCAAAAAAACAUAGUAGGAAAAACGAAUAAGAAACCUCGUAGAAGUAACUAACAAGAACACAGUAUGAGAAACAUAUACACAAACACACAAAAAACACAAUAGAAGAAACUGAUAAGAACAUAGUAGAAGAAACUUACCAAGAACACAGUACGAGAAACAUAGUAGGAGAAACACAGUAGAAGAAACACAUAAAGAAAAAUCAGAGAAAAAUCUAAAUAACUUAGAAACCCUAAAUCGGAAAAAUAAAGGUUUUAAAAGCAUAACUUCGUAGGAAAUAUCAAGAAAUCGUUUAAAUAGUUUAGGGAAAACAUGGACCUGGAACAGAUAUAAAGAAAAUCAGAAGAACCUCAAAAGCUAGGGUUUCAGAGGAACCUAAACUGUGAGAAAGACUUGGAUCGUUGUUGAUAUAAAUAGGCAGAGUUGAGGCUAGGCCCGAGCAGACAUGGCUUACUGGUGAUGGCCCUAGAACUUGAAACACACAAAGAUCUGGAUCCUGCUCUUUCGUGGUCAGGUAAUGAGACUUAAUUAACCAAACGCGGAGAAGCCAUAGAAGGCCUGUGGGUGGUGAAACCACCAUAGAUCUAGGCUAGGAGGUGGCCGCAGAAGGUGAGUGAAACCCAUCGGAGCAGAGGGGAUGAGGAAGUUUCUAGAGAGAACCGCAGAGAUAGAGAUAGAGAGAGAGUUGGCUGAG